UCCAGCUGUAGGCAGCUGCCUAGGUUGUCUUGUACCUAGGCAAGUGUUACACUGCUGGGAGAACAGCAGCCAAUAGCUGGUUGGCAUUCUGGCCCUGGUUCAUGCCAACUCUUGUGUUGACUACCCCAGGAUGCCAGCAUAGUU
Molecule: small nucleolar RNA, 144 nt
Filed under: Homo sapiens (human)
Lineage: Eukaryota; Metazoa; Chordata; Mammalia; Primates; Hominidae
Description: small nucleolar RNA, H/ACA box 74D (SNORA74D)
Source: RNAcentral